Molecule: ribosomal RNA, 246 nt
Filed under: uncultured bacterium
Lineage: Bacteria
Description: partial 16S ribosomal RNA
Rfam family: Bacterial small subunit ribosomal RNA
Source: RNAcentral
CCGGCGACCGGCAAACGGGUGCGGAACACGUACACAACCUUCCUUUUAGUGGGGAUAGCCCAGAGAAAUUUGGAUUAAUACCCCGUAAUAUUAAAGAGUGGCAUCAUUUUUUAAUUAAAGCUCCGGCGCUAGAAGAUGGGUGUGCGUCUGAUUAGGUAGUUGGUGCGGGUAACGGCCCACCAAGCCAGCGAUCAGUAACUGGUGUGAGAGCACGACCAGUCACACGGGCACUGAGACACGGGCCCG